This 72-nucleotide transfer RNA is filed under the name Camelus bactrianus (Bactrian camel). It matches the Rfam family "tRNA". Rfam says of the family: Transfer RNA (tRNA) molecules are approximately 80 nucleotides in length. Their secondary structure includes four short double-helical elements and three loops (D, anti-codon, and T loops). Further hydrogen bonds mediate the characteristic L-shaped molecular structure. tRNAs have two regions of fundamental functional importance: the anti-codon, which is responsible for specific mRNA codon recognition, and the 3' end, to which the tRNAs corresponding amino acid is attached (by aminoacyl-tRNA synthetases). tRNAs cope with the degeneracy of the genetic code in two manners: having more than one tRNA (with a specific anti-codon) for a particular amino acid; and 'wobble' base-pairing, i.e. permitting non-standard base-pairing at the 3rd anti-codon position. Lineage: Eukaryota; Metazoa; Chordata; Mammalia; Artiodactyla; Camelidae. The record is from Rfam by way of RNAcentral. RNAcentral also lists the same sequence under 1 other name.
GUUGGUAUAGCGCAGUGGUAGAUCAUGUGCUUAGUAUGCACAAGGUACUGGGUUCAAUCCCCAGUACCUCCA